GAUGAACGCUGGCGGCGUGCCUAAUACAUGCAAGUCGAGCGAACAGAUGAGGAGCUUGCUCCUCUGACGUUAGCGGCGGACGGGUGAGUAACACGUGGAUAACCUACCUAUAAGACUGGGAUAACUUCGGGAAACCGGAGCUAAUACCGGAUAAUAUAUUGAACCGCAUGGUUCAAUAGUGAAAGACGGUUUUGCUGUCACUUAUAGAUGGAUCCGCGCCGCAUUAGCUAGUUGGUAAGGUAACGGCUUACCAAGGCAACGAUGCGUAGCCGACCUGAGAGGGUGGUCGGCCACACUGGAACUGAGACACGGUCCCGACUCCUACGGGAGGCAGCAGUAGGGAAUCUUCCGCAAUGGGCGAAAGCCUGACGGAGCAACGCCGCGUGAGUGAUGAAGGUCUUCGGAUCGUAAAACUCUGUUAUUAGGGAAGAACAAAUGUGUAAGUAACUAUGCACGUCUUGACGGUACCUAAUCAGAAAGCCACGGCUAACUACGUG
Molecule: ribosomal RNA, 497 nt
Filed under: uncultured bacterium
Lineage: Bacteria
Description: partial 16S ribosomal RNA
Rfam family: Bacterial small subunit ribosomal RNA
Source: RNAcentral